UUAUUUCACCUGUCGAAAGAAGGAGGGAGGAAGGGAAGGAGGGGAGGGAUGGGGCGGAGACCAUUUUAUGAGCCCAGUGUCCGUGAGCACAGGUGAGGCAGACAUACUGAAUCUACCUGGCAGAAGGUUGCAGCUUCGAGGGUUGCCUCUGAUUUUUUCUCUUUUUUUUUUUCUCUCUCUAAAGCUCCUCUAGAAUGGAAUGAUACUGAAGACCUCUGUGGAAUACUUUAGUAGAUAAAAUGAAGAAAGGAGCUUUGAAUUUUCUGAGUCGGAAGAACCAGUCUCUUUUCGACCCGAAACUUGAAAUUAAGGAGCUGGAAAAUGCAGACUUUGUGUGGGAUUCCUUAGCCAUUCCUGAAUCAGGAACCGCAAACGUGCGCUUCAGACCAACAGUCAAACAUAAUUCGUCUUCCUCUGAUGUACUUCAAGGAUUUGCAGUCCCAACGCCGAAAGCCCCCCUUCUACCUUCUAUCAAUGGACUGCAUACACCUGAGAGAGUUAAUGGAGACCAGAAUUCCAGAAGUGGCCCUUUGGCUAUUCGUCAUUCAGUUGAAGGAGAGAUCUUCAUCCCACCACCACCUUCCAUGGCACCACCACCACCUCCACAGUUCAUUCCUCCUCCACCAGAGUUUGGCAGCAGGCUGAACUCUUCUUAUGAAUCUCCACCUGCAUCCUCUUUACAGCCUCCACCCAUGUCCCCUCCAAAGCCUCCAUCACAGCUUCCUGCAGCAGAAACUGACCUGGCUUCUCUCAAGCCACCAUCAAUGGCACCUCCAAAGCCUCCUAUAAAACCAUUUAGCACCAAACCCUCAGAUGUUGUUGGAUUAUUUCCAUCCAAUGACGAGAUCAUUCCUGAAAAACCUACAUUUCUUCCCCCACAACCUCCCACACUGUCUGUGGAACAACCUCAGAUUGCUCAUCUCAAGAGUCAUAAAGUUCCACCUCCAAAGCCUGUGAGGCUCUCUUCCAUACCCAGCCAAAAUGAUCUGCCUUCAUUCAUAGCCCCAGCUCUAUCCACUAAUGAACCCACACCCUCCAGCUUCAACCCACAGAAUUCUGCUAAGCUCUACAAUGUACCCAAUACACCCAUCCUGAGUGGACAAAAAAACCAUGAAAUAAAAUCCAAAUCCAUUAUAAUUUUACAAGACCCCCCUACUGAUAAUCACACAAAAGGAAAAGUUCCUUCUGCUCUGACUGAUGUCUCCACAAAGUCCGCCAUACCCCCUGUGAAGCCUGCUCGAAGAAACAGCUCUGGAAUGCAACUAGAGAAGGAUGUAGAACAUUUGAAAUACAACCUUCAGUCCACCCUUCCUAGCCAAACCAGGCUCAGGGGAAUUAAUGUUUCUGAGUCAUUAAUGAAAAAUGAAGAUCCCCCAGAAGCCCUCUCUAAGCUCCAGGAUGUCCCUACAGUCCCUCAAAGCUUAGAAUCAAGUAUUAUGAAGUAUUCAGCAGGGUCACCAGCCAGAACUCACAAGUCCUACAGCGCUUACAGCCACAUACCUUAUGGCCACAGAUCCACUGGCAGUUCCCCAUCCCCAAUGGCUCUCCUGCAGGCUGCCAAAGAGAGAGAGAAACAGAAACGCACAAUGUCUGAGGAAAACUACACUAAAACAAACAGCUCCAGUGAACUCCCCACCAUGAGAAUCUACUCAGCUGAAUCCAGACCAAACAGUAUCAUGGUAGUUCCUAGGAGCACUUUGUCCUCUUCUCAAACAGGACAAGAGCAAAUGGACCAAGGCCAGCUAAGUAUCCCCCAAGACGUACAUUCAAUGCAGAUGCUCUCUAUUAGGCCUUACCAGAUCCCUCAGAGCUCUGAAUCAAUACAGGAGAAAGUUGCUUUCUCUGACUUGAAGCCAAGUAAUCUCCACUCCUCUGUAUUUUCAGUCUCUAGCAAAGAGACUAAGCAUCAGCCUGAUGUGCACACCACUCCCACUGUGCCUUGGUCUAACUCAUUCAUGGAUGAAGAGAAUGGUGAGGAUAUGGGUGUGCCCCUCAUCCCUCCUCCUCCAGAAUUUGCUAACUCUGACAUAGAGGAUGACCGUAGUUUGGUCCAUGUGGAACAACCCCCCAACCUGCCUCCUCCUGAUCCCCCAUCACAGAAAAGCCAGUCUCCUGCAUCAUUCACAAUCGCAAAGUUCCAAAGCAACAUUCCUGCACGUCCUUCUGAUAUCCCAUUACAGAAAAGCAGCCACCCCUCUUCAUCUUCUGUAGUACCCACUCUCCAGAGAACUAGUCCUCUCCCUACCCCUGAUCCCCCAUCAGAGAUUACACAGCCCUCUGCAUCAUCCACAGUUCCUGCCCUCCAGAUCAACAGUCCUGCACCUUCUGACCAUUCAUCACAGAAAAUAACCCAGCACCCUGUACCUGCAGCCCUCAAUUUCCAGAGCAGCCAUCCUGCACCUCCUCCUGACUGUCCACCACAGCCACCUAUAUUACCACCGGUGCCAAUCAUCCACAACAAGGGUCCCCCACCUCCCCCAAAACCCAAACCUUAUGUUACUCCUUUGAAACCCAAUAUGAAAACCAAUCCCUUACCUCAUGCCCUCCCUAAGGGAAUCAAUCCCAUGUCUCCAAGUCAGGCUACUCUGUUGAGUAUUUUGCAGAAGAAGAUGCUGGAAAUGGACCAGAAGCAUCUGCUGCCACAAGUGGACUCAACAAGUGAUGACUGGGGUACACCAUUCUCAGAUGAAGAGAGUGGUGAUGUCUUUCCAAAGAAGAAGCAACUGUCUCAGAGCCAGAGCCUAGAUCUGGGCAAGCUGGAGAGCAAAGAGGCCAAAAGGGUUCAAGCCUCAUCUGUAAAACCUAUUGCCAGCAAGGGACCUCAGUCAAAGCCACCAUGUGGCAUGACUUUUACCGUCCGACCUGGAAGUAAACAACCCAUCACCCUCAUCAGUAAAGAGGAUUCGUCCUGAAGAACCAUAGGAUAUUCUACACUCUUGCAAGUGUAUUUACAGCAACCUUGUUCAGUGCUGUGUCAUGGGUGAGAACAGCACUCCAUAACAAACAAAUAAAUAUGUAACCAACUUGCA
Molecule: long non-coding RNA, 3029 nt
Filed under: Scleropages formosus (Asian bonytongue)
Lineage: Eukaryota; Metazoa; Chordata; Actinopteri; Osteoglossiformes; Osteoglossidae
Description: lncRNA (ENSSFOG00015028545.1)
Source: RNAcentral